Molecule: ribosomal RNA, 440 nt
Filed under: uncultured bacterium
Lineage: Bacteria
Description: partial 16S ribosomal RNA
Rfam family: Bacterial small subunit ribosomal RNA
Source: RNAcentral
CCUACGGGGGGCAGCAGUGGGGGAUAUUGCACAAUGGGGGAAACCCUGAUGCAGCGACGCCGCGUGGGUGAAGAAGCGCCUCGGCGCGUAAAGCCCUGUCAGCAGGGAAGAAAAUGACGGUACCUGAAGAAGAAGCCCCGGCUAACUACGUGCCAGCAGCCGCGGUAAUACGUAGGGGGCAAGCGUUAUCCGGAUUUACUGGGUGUAAAGGGGGCGCAGACGGCGAUGCAAGCCAGGUGUGAAAGCCCGGGGCCCAACCCCGGGACUGCUCUUGGAACUGCGUGGCUAGAGUGCAGGAGGGGCAGGCGGAAGUCCUGGUGUAGCGGUGAAAUGCGUAGAUAUCAGGAGGAACACCGGUGGCGAAGGCGGCCUGCUGGACUGCAACUGACGUUGAGGCCCGAAAGCGUGGGGAGCAAACAGGAUUAGAUACCCCAGUAGUC